UAUGUGAUCGUCUCUCGCAUAUCAAUAAGCGGAGGAAAAGAAACUAACAAGGAUUCCCCUAGUAACGGCGAGUGAAGCGGGAAGAGCUCAAAUUUGAAAUCUUAAAGGGUUUCCCUUUACGAAUUGUAGUUUAAAGAAGUGUUUUCUGUUGAGGUUUUGGUAAAAGUUCUUUGGAAUAGGACAUCAUAGAGGGUGAGAAUCCCGUAUUUGACCUUUACUUUCAACUUUGUGAUACACUUUCAAAGAGUCGGAUUGUUUGGGAAUGCGGUCCAAAAUGGGUGGUAAAUUUCAUCUAAAGCUAAAUAUUGGCGAGAGACCGAUAGCGAACAAGUACCGUGAGGGAAAGAUGAAAAGAACUUUGAAAAGAGAGUUAAACAGUACGUGAAAUUGUCAAAAGGGAAGCGUUUGACACCAGUGUUGUUUUUCUGAAAAUCAAUUAAAGAACUGUUUAUGCUAAGCUGUUUAGACUUUAUCAGCUAUCUGUUUAGUUUUGAGCUUUUCUUUAAUGCACUUUUCAGUUAACAAGUCAACAUCAAUUUCUUUUGCUGUAAAAAAGCUUGAGGAAGGUGGCUUGAGAUUCGUCUUAAGUGUUUAUAGCCUCUUGCCUAUGUAGUCGGAGAGAUUGAGGUCUGCAGCGUAGAUCCUUCGGGGCUAAAUGCAUUUGUGCUAAGUUAUAGCAUUUUAUAGACAACUUGUUGACUAUGAUUUGUCUUGUAGCUUACUCGCUUAUGUUAUUUUACCUACGCUUAGGAUGUUGAGCGCAUGUCUCUCUCU
Molecule: ribosomal RNA, 774 nt
Filed under: uncultured Neocallimastigales
Lineage: Eukaryota; Fungi; Neocallimastigomycota; Neocallimastigomycetes; Neocallimastigales
Description: partial large subunit ribosomal RNA
Rfam family: Eukaryotic large subunit ribosomal RNA
Source: RNAcentral